RNAcentral lists this long non-coding RNA (554 nucleotides) under Mustela putorius furo (domestic ferret). RNAcentral describes it as "lncRNA (ENSMPUG00000029246.1)". Lineage: Eukaryota; Metazoa; Chordata; Mammalia; Carnivora; Mustelidae. The record is from RNAcentral.
AUCUCUCUUUUAACUGUUUCCUUGCUGAAUUUGUGUUCUCUUGCCAAGGAGAUGAUGAAUUAUUGGAAGAAAACCCAGAGAAGUCCCAAGUCAAAUCUCAAGAGGAAAACGGGGAUGAGAGAGACAAACCUGGAGAGAAAGGCCAUGGUCAAGCAAACAAGCCUCAUAACCAGAGUCUCCAGGGAGGCCCGAAAGAACCAUUUGGCAGUGGUGUCCCCAACGGCCCACAUGGCUCACAUGGCCCCAGGGGCCCAUAUCACCCCGGUGGUCUCCAAUGGGCCAGGUGGCCAACAAGGACCAGGUGGCUAGCAAAGACCAGAUAGCCAACAAGGACCAGGUGGCCAAGGUCAUCCAGGUGGCCAACAAGGCCAACAAGCUGCCGAGAAAGGACCAGGUGCCCAGGGAGACCAGCAGGGAAGAGAUGACCAGCACGGUCAGCCCGGUGGCCAGUGACAAAGUAACCUUACUAAGGAGGUCCUCCGGUGAUUCUCUAGAAAUGGAUAGACAUCAACUGGUGACCAUGGACUGUUCAGUGGUGGAAACAUAGCCUUUCC